AUACCUUUCUCGGCCUUCUGGCAAAGAUCAAGUGUAGUAUCUGUUCUUAUUAGUUUAAUAUCUGAUAUGUGGGCCGUCGGUUAACUCUUUAUUAAAUUAAUAAUUUUUUGAGGAGAGGGCCCACUACAGUAGCUUGGUACUGGGGCCUCUAAUGUGUUGCCUUGCUGUUGCAUUAUUGCCUUGGCUUGGCGUACCCCAA
Rhododendron vialii is the source of this 199-nucleotide small nuclear RNA. RefSeq annotates it as U2 spliceosomal RNA. The record is from RefSeq and is a predicted model, not a curated record. The transcript has a single exon. Lineage: Eukaryota; Viridiplantae; Streptophyta; Magnoliopsida; Ericales; Ericaceae.